Molecule: ribosomal RNA, 678 nt
Filed under: Rhizoctonia solani
Lineage: Eukaryota; Fungi; Basidiomycota; Agaricomycetes; Cantharellales; Ceratobasidiaceae
Description: eukaryotic LSU rRNA
Rfam family: 5.8S ribosomal RNA (bases 244-397)
Source: RNAcentral
CCUGUAGGUGACUGCGGAGGACAUUAUUGAUUUAAUGAGGGGAUAUCUGGUUGUAGCUGGCUCAUGAAUUUGGGCAUGUGCACACCUAUCUCUUUCAUCCACACACACCUGUGCACUUGUGAGGCAGAUGGGGAAUUUAUUGAUUGUUUUUUAAGAACAAUUGGUGCUGGACCCUCUGUCUACUCAAUACAUAAACUCAAUUUAUUUAGAAAUGAAUGUAAUGGAUGUAACGCAUCUAAUACUAAGUUUCAACAACGGAUCUCUUGGCUCUCGCAUCGAUGAAGAACGCAGCGAAAUGCGAUAAGUAAUGUGAAUUGCAGAAUUCAGUGAAUCAUCGAAUCUUUGAACGCACCUUGCGCUCCUUGGUAUUCCUUGGAGCAUGCCUGUUUGAGUAUCAUGAAAUCUUCAAAGUAAAUCUUUUGUUAACUCAAUUGGUUCCACUUUGGUAUUGGAGGUCUUUGCAGCUUCACACCUGCUCCUCUUCGUUCAUUAGCUGGAUCUCAGUGUUAUGCUUGGUUCCACUCAGCGUGAUAAGUUAUCUAUCGCUGAGGACACUGUAACAGGUGGCCAAGGGAAAUGCAGAUGAACCGCUUCUAAUAGUCCAUUGACUUGGACACUAUUUUUAUGAUCUGAUCUCAAAUCAGGUAGGACUACCCGCUGAACUUAAGCAUAUCAAAA